GACGAACGCUGGCGGCGUGCUUAACACAUGCAAGUCGAACGGAAAGGCCCUGCUUUUGUGGGGUGCUCGAGUGGCGAACGGGUGAGUAACACGUGAGUAACCUGCCCUUGACUUUGGGAUAACUUCAGGAAACUGGGGCUAAUACCGGAUAGGAGCUCCUGCUGCAUGGUGGGGGUUGGAAAGUUUCGGCGGUUGGGGAUGGACUCGCGGCUUAUCAGCUUGUUGGUGGGGUAGUGGCUUACCAAGGCUUUGACGGGUAGCCGGCCUGAGAGGGUGACCGGCCACAUUGGGACUGAGAUACGGCCCAGACUCCUACGGGAGGCAGCAGUGGGGAAUAUUGCACAAUGGGCGGAAGCCUGAUGCAGCAACGCCGCGUGCGGGAUGACGGCCUUCGGGUUGUAAACCGCUUUCGCCUGUGACGAAGCGUGAGUGACGGUAAUGGGUAAAGAAGCACCGGCUAACUACGUGCCAGCAGCCGCGGUGAUACGUAGGGUGCGAGCGUUGUCCGGAUUUAUUGGGCGUAAAGGGCUCGUAGGUGGUUGAUCGCGUCGGAAGUGUAAUCUUGGGGCUUAACCCUGAGCGUGCUUUCGAUACGGGUUGACUUGAGGAAGGUAGGGGGGAAUGGAAUUCCUGGUGGAGCGGUGGAAUGCGCAGAUAUCAGGAGGAACACCAGUGGCGAAGGCGGUUCUCUGGGCCUUUCCUGACGCUGAGGAGCGAAAGCGUGGGGAGCGAACAGGCUUAGAUACCCUGGUAGUCCACGCUGUAAACGGUGGGUACUAGGUGUGGGGUCCAUUCCACGGGUUCCGUGCCGUAGCUAACGCUUUAAGUACCCCGCCUGGGGAGUACGGCCGCAAGGCUAAAACUCAAAGGAAUUGACGGGGCCCCGCACAAGGGGCGGAGCAUGCGGAUUAAUUCGAUGCAACGCGUAGAACCUUACCUGGGUUUGACAUGGAUCGGGAGUGCUCAGAGAUGGGUGUGCCUCUUUUGGGGUCGGUUCACAGGUGGUGCAUGCCUGUCGUCAGCUCGUGUCGUGAGAUGUUGGGUUAAGUCCCGCAACGAGCGCAACCCUUGUUCACUGUUGCCAGCACGUUAUGGUGGGGACUCAGUGGAGACCGCCGGGGUCAACUCGGAGGAAGGUGGGGAUGACGUCAAGUCAUCAUGCCCCUUAUGUCCAGGGCUUCACGCAUGCUACAAUGGCUGGUACAGAGAGUGGCGAGCCUGUGAGGGUGAGCGAAUCUCGGAAAGCCGGUCUCAGUUCGGAUUGGGGUCUGCAACUCGACCUCAUGAAGUCGGAGUCGCUAGUAAUCGCAGAUCAGCAACGCUGCGGUGAAUACGUUCCCGGG
Molecule: ribosomal RNA, 1343 nt
Filed under: uncultured bacterium
Lineage: Bacteria
Description: 16S ribosomal RNA
Rfam family: Bacterial small subunit ribosomal RNA
Source: RNAcentral